GCCCCCAUAGCUCAGGCUGGAUAGAGCGUUGGCCUCCGGAGCCAAAGGUCGCGGGUUCGAGUCCCGCUGGGGGCU
RNAcentral lists this transfer RNA (75 nucleotides) under Thermoflexus hugenholtzii JAD2. Its description in RNAcentral is "tRNA_Arg_CCG". It matches the Rfam family "tRNA". From Rfam's summary of the family: Transfer RNA (tRNA) molecules are approximately 80 nucleotides in length. Lineage: Bacteria; Bacillati; Chloroflexota; Thermoflexia; Thermoflexales; Thermoflexaceae. The record is from RNAcentral. RNAcentral also lists the same sequence under 6 other names.